CGACCGGCGCACGGGUGCGUAACGCGUAUACAAUUUACCUUUUACUAGGGGAUAGCCCAGAGAAAUUUGGAUUAAUACCCUAUAGUAUUAUCGGAUCGCAUGGUUUGGUAAUUAAAGUUUCGGCGGUAAGAGAUGAGUAUGCGUCCUAUUAGCUAGAUGGUAAGGUAACGGCUUACCAUGGCUAUGAUAGGUAGGGGUCCUGAGAGGGAGAUCCCCCACACUGGUACUGAGACACGGACCAG
RNAcentral lists this ribosomal RNA (242 nucleotides) under uncultured bacterium. RNAcentral's name for it is "partial 16S ribosomal RNA". It matches the Rfam family "Bacterial small subunit ribosomal RNA", at positions 92 to 334 of the family's 1533-position model. The record is from RNAcentral.